Micromonospora echinofusca is the source of this 65-nucleotide regulatory RNA element. It matches the Rfam family "L31-Actinobacteria ribosomal protein leader". Lineage: Bacteria; Bacillati; Actinomycetota; Actinomycetes; Micromonosporales; Micromonosporaceae. The record is from Rfam.
CCGGUUCCGGUUCACGCCCGAGCCCGUCGCACGCCGCGACGGACACCGACGGCGACCCGGCGACC